AUGGCGGCGACGGUGAGGAAGCUGGUGGUGGAGGUGGUGGAGGCGCGGAACCUGCUACCGAAGGACGGGACGGGCACGUCGAGCCCGUACGCGCGCGCCGACUUCGACGGCCAGCGCCGCAAGACGCGCACCGUGCCGCGGGACCUCAACCCGGCCUGGAACGAACCGCUCGAGUUCAACUUCCCAGGGCCCGGAUCCGGCGGCAUCGACCCCGUCGCCGGCGAGCCGCUCGAGGUGGCCAUCUUCCACGACGUGCGGGUGGCACCCACCCGUCGCAACAACUUCCUCGGCCGCGUCCGCCUCGACGCGCGCCAGUUCGUGCGCAAGGGCGAGGAGGCGCUCAUCUACUUCCCGCUAGAGAAGAAGAGCUUCCUCAGCUGGGUGCGCGGCGACAUCGGCCUCAAGGUCUACUACCUCGACGAGCCCCUCGCGCCGGAGCCUGACCCGCCUGCCGCUGAUCCUCCUGCGGCCGAUGUGGAGCCGCCCAAGGUUGAUGCGCCGCCGCCGGCUCCUGAUGCCUCACCUUCACCCGUGUGUGCGGACCCACCGCCAGAGGCAGAGGGGCCGGAGAAAGCACACGGAGCGCCACCAGCCGGCGACGAAGCCAACACGGAGAAGCCGCCAGAGGGUGACGGUGACCCGGCAGCGCCUACCCCGGCCACGGAAGAUGAGCCGGUACUGAGUUCGGAAGCGGUGCCAGUUUCCGAUUCAGCGGCGUCAGAGAGGCCGCCGGAGGAGGAGACCCCGCCACCGCCGCCGAUCCCGACGCCAAUGCCAAGGCAGGUGCCGGUGCCGCCGCGUCCGGCGCCGCCGCCACCGGAUGUGCCGAUGGAGCGAUCGAAGCACGACCUGGUGGACAAGAUGCCGUACCUGUUCGUCAGGGUUGUGCGUGCGCGAGGCCUGCCGGCGGGAGCGCACCCACACGUGCGCGUGGCCGCCGGCGGCCGGCACGCGUCCACCCGGGAGGCGCGCCGCGGCGCCUUCUUCGAGUGGGAUCAGACAUUCGCUUUCAAGCGCGAUCCGGCCAUCGACUCCCCGGGCCCCACGCUCGAGGUCUCUGUGUGGGACCUCCCUCCCGACGCCGAUGUGUCCAUCGCCGACGACCGCAGCUUCCUCGGCGGGCUCUGCUUCGACACCGCCGAUGUCCACGCGCGCGACCCGCCCGACGGGCCGCUCGCCACGCAAUGGUACAGGCUGGAAGGCGGGCGCCGCCUCGCCGGUGCCGACCUGAUGGUCGCCACGUGGGCUGGCACGCAGGCCGACGAGGCCUUCGGCGAGGCGUGGAAGGCGGACUCCCCGUCAGCGUCGUCGUUCUCGGCUGCCGUCGCGUCGCGCGCCAAGGUGUACGUCUCGCCAAAGCUCUGGCUCCUGCGCCUGACAGUCAUCGAGGCGCAGGACACGCUCACGGCGGCGCCGCCCCGCGACGCCGGCAUCGCGGUGCGCGGGACCCUGGGCUUCCAGUCCCUAAAGACCCGCACGACGCCGGUGAACCGCAACGGUGGGCCGGCGUGGAACGAGGACCUGGUGUUCGUCGCCGCCGAGCCGUUCAUCGACGAGGACUGCUUCGUCAUCUCCCUCGAGGUUCGCUACGGCAAGGAAGCUUUCCCCGUGGGGUCGGCCAGCAUCUCGCUCGCUGCCAUCGAGAGGCGGGUUGACGAUCGGAAGGUGGCGUCCAAGUGGCUCGACCUUCUCCCGUCCGACGAGGCCAUGAGAAAAGUGGGCAAGUGGGCGGCCAUGCACAUGCACGGCGGCCGGCUGCACGUGCGCGUGUGUCUCGACGGGGGCUACCACGUUGCCGACGAGCCGCAGUACGCGAGCAGCGACUUCCGGCCGUCGGCGCGGCAGCUGUGGCGCCCGCCAAUCGGCGCGCUGGAGCUUGGCAUCGUCGGGUGCAAAGGCCUCCUACCGAUGCGCACCGCCGACGGCAAGGGGUGCACGGACGCGUACGCCGUGGCCAAGUACGGCCCCAAGUGGGCGCGCACGCGCACCAUCUCCGACAGCUACGACCCGGCCUGGAACGAGCAGUACACGUGGCCCGUGUACGACCCGUGCACCGUGCUCACCGUCGGCGUCUUCGACGACCCGCUGCAGUCGCUUCCGCCGGACGAGGGGAAAGACGCCGCGUGUUCGCGACCGAUGGGGAAGGUGCGGAUACGGCUGUCCACGCUGGAGAACGGCCGCGUGUACCGCGGCACGUACCCGCUAAUCUUGAUGCUGCCCUCCGGCGCAAAGAGGAUGGGCGACGUCGAGCUGGCCGUCCGCUUCGCCACGUCCGGGACGGCGCUCGACGUGCUGCACAUGUACGGGCAGCCGGUGUUGCCGGCGAUGCACCACCUGCGGCCGAUCCCGUCCGUGAACCGCGAGGCGCUUCGGCUGGCCGCGGCGCGCAUCUCGGCCGGUCACCUGGCUCGCGCCGAGCCGCCGCUCCGGCGGGAGGUGGCGAUGUGGAUGCUGGACGCGGCGGAGCCCCGGGGAUUCAGCAUGCGGAAGCUGCGCGCCAACUGGAACCGCGCCGUGGCGGCGCUGUCGUGGGUGGCCGACGCGGCGCGGUGGGCAGAGGAUACCCGGUCGUGGCGGAACCCGACGGCCACGACCAUGGCGCACGCCGUGCUCGUGCUCCUGGCGUGGCACCCGGAUCUCAUCGUGCCGACGCUCACGCUCCACGUCGCCGCCGUCGGCGUGUGGAAGUACCGGCGCAGGCCGCGCGCCCCGGCGCCGCACCCGUGCGUGCGCGCGUCCAUGGCGGAGGCGCCUGACAGGGAGGAGCUGGACGAGGAGUUUGACACGAUACCGAGCGGGAGGUCGGCGGAGGUGGUGCGCGCGCGGUACGACCGCGCUAGGAUGGUCGGAGCGCGGCUGCAGGCCAUGGUCGGCGACGUGGCGACGCAGGCGGAGAGGCUGCAGGCGCUCGUGUCGUGGCGCGACCCGCGCGCCACAGGGAUGUUCGUGGUGCUCUGCGUCGUGGUGGCCAUGGUGCUGUACAUGGUGCCCAUGAAGGUGGUGGCAGUGGUCGCCGGGUUCUACUACCUCCGGCACCCCAUGUUCCGGGACCGGAUGCCGGCGCCAGUGAUCAACUUCUUCCGGCGGUUGCCUUCUAUGUCGGAACGUAUCAUGUAA
Molecule: ribosomal RNA, 3117 nt
Filed under: Triticum aestivum (bread wheat)
Lineage: Eukaryota; Viridiplantae; Streptophyta; Magnoliopsida; Poales; Poaceae
Description: partial small subunit ribosomal RNA
Source: RNAcentral